This 406-nucleotide ribosomal RNA is filed under the name uncultured bacterium. Its description in RNAcentral is "partial 16S ribosomal RNA". It matches the Rfam family "Bacterial small subunit ribosomal RNA", at positions 30 to 526 of the family's 1533-position model. The record is from RNAcentral.
AUUGAACGCUGGCGGCAGGCCUAACACAUGCAAGUCGAACGAGUGGCGGACGGGUGAGUAAUGUCUGGGAAACUGCCCGAUGGAGGGGGAUAACUAAUGGAAAGGGUAGAUAAUACCGCAUACUAUCAGAUGAGCCCAGAUGGGUUUAGCUAGUAGGUGGGGUAACGGCUCACCGAGGAGACGUUCCCUAGCUGGUCUGAGAGGAUGACCAGCCACCCUGGACCUGAGACACGGUCCAGACUCCUACGGGAGGCAGCAGUGGGGAACAUUGCACAAUGGGCGCAAGCCUGAUGCAGCCAUGCCGCGUGUAUGAAGAAGGCCUUCGGUUUUUAAAGUACUUUCAGCGGGGAGGCGUUACUCACAGAAGAAGCACCGGCUAACUCCGUGCCAGCAGCCGCGGUAAUAC